Molecule: transfer RNA, 73 nt
Filed under: Enhydra lutris kenyoni (northern sea otter)
Lineage: Eukaryota; Metazoa; Chordata; Mammalia; Carnivora; Mustelidae
Also listed under: 1 other name
Rfam family: tRNA
About the family: Transfer RNA (tRNA) molecules are approximately 80 nucleotides in length. Their secondary structure includes four short double-helical elements and three loops (D, anti-codon, and T loops).
Source: Rfam by way of RNAcentral
ACCUGGCUGGCUCAGUUGGUAGGGCAUGUGACUCUUGAUCUCAGGGUGGUGAGUUCAAGCCCCAUGUUGGGUG